RNAcentral lists this ribosomal RNA (1478 nucleotides) under metagenome. Its description in RNAcentral is "bacterial SSU rRNA". It matches the Rfam family "Bacterial small subunit ribosomal RNA". The record is from RNAcentral.
AGAGUUUGAUCCUGGCUCAGGAUGAACGCUAGCGGCAGGCCUAACACAUGCAAGUCGAACGGUAAGGUCCUUUCGGGGAUACACGAGUGGCGCACGGGUGAGUAACGCGUAUGCAACCUACCUUUAACUGGGGCAUAGCUCCGAGAAAUCGGGAUUAAUACCCCAUAGUAUUCUAAAUUCGCAUGUUUUUAGAAUUAAAGUUCCGACGGUUAAAGAUGGGCAUGCGUGACAUUAGUUUGUUGGUGAGGUAACUGCUCACCAAGACUAUGAUGUCUAGGGGGUCUGAGAGGAUGGUCCCCCACACUGGUACUGAGACACGGACCAGACUCCUACGGGAGGCAGCAGUGAGGAAUAUUGGUCAAUGGGCGCAAGCCUGAACCAGCCAUGCCGCGUGCAGGAUGAAUGCCCUACGGGUUGUAAACUGCUUUUAUACAGGAAGAAACUCUUGGUUUUUACCGGGAUUGACGGUACUGUAUGAAUAAGGAUCGGCUAACUCCGUGCCAGCAGCCGCGGUAAUACGGAGGAUCCAAGCGUUAUCCGGAUUUAUUGGGUUUAAAGGGUGUGUAGGCGGAGUAAUAAGUCAGUGGUGAAAUCUUUCGGCUUAACCGGAAAACUGCCAUAGAUACUGUUAUUCUUGAGUUCAGUUGAGGUAGGCGGAAUGUGUCAUGUAGCAGUGAAAUGCUUAGAUAUGACACAGAACACCGAUUGCGUAGGCAGCUUGCUAAACUGAUACUGACGCUGAGGCACGAAAGCGUGGGUAGCGAACAGGAUUAGAUACCCUGGUAGUCCACGCUGUAAACUAUGAUUACUCGAUGUAUGCGAUACACAGUGUGCGUCUGAGCGAAAGCAUUAAGUAAUCCACCUGGGGAGUACGAUCGCAAGGUUGAAACUCAAAGGAAUUGACGGGGGCCCGCACAAGCGGAGGAACAUGUGGUUUAAUUCGAUGAUACGCGAGGAACCUUACCUGGGCUUAAAUGCAGUAUGACUUUUCUCGAAAGAGAUUUUCCCUUCGGGGCAGAUUGCAAGGUGCUGCAUGGUUGUCGUCAGCUCGUGCCGUGAGGUGUCGGGUUAAGUCCCAUAACGAGCGCAACCCUUAUCAUUAGUUGCCAUCGGGUAAUGCCGGGGACUCUAAUGAAACUGCCAGUGUAAACUGCGAGGAAGGUGGGGAUGACGUCAAAUCAGCACGGCCCUUAUGUCCAGGGCUACACACGUGUUACAAUGGCCAGUACAAAGGGCAGCUACCUGGUGACAGGAUGCUAAUCUCGAAAACUGGUCUUAGUUCGGAUCGAAGUCUGCAAUUCGACUUCGUGAAGCUGGAUUCGCUAGUAAUCGUAUAUCAGCAAUGAUACGGUGAAUACGUUCCCGGGCCUUGUACACACCGCCCGUCAAGCCAUGGAAGCCGGGGGUACUUAAAGUCCGUAACCGCAAGGAGCGGCCUAGGGUAAAACUGGUAACUGGGGCUAAGUCGUAACAAGGUA